This 504-nucleotide ribosomal RNA is filed under the name uncultured Alphaproteobacteria bacterium. Its description in RNAcentral is "bacterial SSU rRNA". It matches the Rfam family "Bacterial small subunit ribosomal RNA", at positions 89 to 627 of the family's 1533-position model. The record is from RNAcentral. Lineage: Bacteria; Pseudomonadati; Pseudomonadota; Alphaproteobacteria.
UACUUAGUGGCAGACGGGUGAGUAACAUGUAGGUAUCUGCCCUUUGGCCUGGAAUAACACGAGGAAACUUGUGCUAAUACCGGAUAAGUCUUUACGGAGAAAGCUUUAUGCACCAUUGGAUGAGCCUGCACUUGAUUAGUUUGUUGGUGGGGUAAUGGCCUACCAAGACUGUGAUCAAUAGCUGAUUUGAGAGGAUGAUCAGCCACAUUGGGACUGAGACACGGCCCAAACUCCUACGGGAGGCAGCAGUGGGGAAUCUUGCACAAUGGAGGAAACUCUGAUGCAGCGAUGCCGCGUGAGUGAAGAAGGCCCUUGGGUUGUAAAGCUCUUUCGUCGGGGAAGAAAAUGACUGUACCCGAAUAAGAAGGUCCGGCUAACUUCGUGCCAGCAGCCGCGGUAAUACGAAGGGACCUAGCGUAGUUCGGAAUUACUGGGCUUAAAGAGUUCGUAGGUGGUUGAAAAAGUUAGUGGUGAAAUCCCAGAGCUUAACUCUGGAACUGCCAU